AGAUUAAUUUCUAAGUGAGAUAAAAUUUCUUUGAAAUUAUUAAAUAAAAUUAAUUGAUGGUAAUAAGACAAAUGACUGUGUGAUUGGUCGUUUUACUUAUUCCAGAAGAAACCUCCCAGCAUAAACCCAUAUAGGAGGAUUUGAAUAUGGAGAAUGACUAGUUGCUUAAGCAUUCACGUUAGGGUCACACAAUCAAUUACCUCCUGAAUGUAUCGUCUCUAUUUCCAAUAUCUGAACACACAAGGAAACUAUAAUCUCAUCCUUCACCUUAUCGGUCUCUUCUUUACAGCAAUCCAGUCAUACCAAUAACUGCUAUUUCCACCAAUAUAUUCACCCUCAUAAUCUCCAACUGUAAUA
This 357-nucleotide long non-coding RNA is filed under the name Physcomitrium patens. RNAcentral describes it as "long non-coding RNA (PPAT_LNC012842)". Lineage: Eukaryota; Viridiplantae; Streptophyta; Bryopsida; Funariales; Funariaceae. The record is from RNAcentral.